This 494-nucleotide ribosomal RNA is filed under the name uncultured bacterium. RNAcentral describes it as "bacterial SSU rRNA". It matches the Rfam family "Bacterial small subunit ribosomal RNA", at positions 903 to 1397 of the family's 1533-position model. The record is from RNAcentral.
AAAUGAAUUGACGGGGGCCCGCACAAGCGGAGGAACAUGUGGUUUAAUUCGAUGAUACGCGAGGAACCUUACCCGGGCUUGAAUUGCAGACUAAUGCGGCGGAGACGCCGCAGUCCUUCGGGAAGUCUGUGAAGGUGCUGCAUGGUUGUCGUCAGCUCGUGCCGUGAGGUGUCGGCUCAAGUGCCAUAACGAGCGCAACCCCUGUCUCCUGUUGCCAUCAGGUAAAGCUGGGCACACUGGAGAGACUGCCGCCGUAAGGUGCGAGGAAGGUGGGGAUGACGUCAAAUCAGCACGGCCCUUACGUCCGGGGCUACACACGUGUUACAAUGGCCGGUACAGAAGGAUGGUGCCCCGCAAGGUGCAUCGAACCUGAAAAACCGGUCCCAGUUCGGACUGGGGUCUGCAACCCGACCCCACGAAGCUGGAUUCGCUAGUAAUCGCGCAUCAGCCAUGACGCGGUGAAUACGUUCCCGGGCCUUGUACACACCGCCCGU